AGAACCAGUUUUCAUCUACUCAACAACCUCUUACUCAUGGGUCUUUAUAUAACUUAGGUGAAAGUAUGUCCAUAGGGGAACAGAAAAGAAAGCUGAGAAAGAUGUGCCAGGAGACUUGUGGGAACUAAUCCAAGUGCAACACCUCCUUACCACAAAGGAAAAGGACAGGGUAAAGGAAAUUGGAAAAACCCAUAAGAUGUAUUUGAGGUUCUUUCUAUUCCAGGGAAUUCUUGGUAUGAUAGGACAUGAAAGCUGAGAGAAAACCCUUCUACCUAGGAACUCCGGAGUUUCAACUACCAGAGACUGAAGGCAGGAGAGAAAAACUAAGACAAAUGACUUCAAAGCCUUUCUGAAAUGCCACAGAGGGUCAGGAUUACAAUCUGCCUAUUCUGAUUCUUCUACUAUGGGAAAAAAUCUUUUUCAGAAUUGAUGUAAAGCCUCUGUUAAUACUUUUCCUGUUAACAACCUAACUAUUCAACUGCUGAAUAAAAACCAUUAGGACAACUAAAGAAACUGAGAGAUUUUGGCAAGAAAUAGUCAUUCCAAUAUCAAUGACUACGGAGGAAAUGCAAUUACUUUUCUUUGCUUAAGUUUUCCAGGGCCUUUCUCUGUUGCCCAGGCUGGAGUGCAGUGAGGCAAUCUUGGCUCACCACAAUCUCUCCCUCCUGGAUUCAAGCAAUUCUCCUGCCUCAGCCUCCCGAGUAGCUGGGAUUACAGGCAUGCACCACUACACCCGGAUAAUUUUUGUAUUUUUAGUAGAGAUGGGGUUUUACCAUGUUGGCCAGGCUGGUCUUGAACUCCUGACCUCGUGAUCAGCCUGCCUCGGCCUCCUAAAGUGCUGGGAUUACAUGCAUGAGCCACUGUGCCCUGCCAACUUGUUAAAUUUUUAAUCAUUCUGCUCACCUUUUGCAACCUUACUGACUUUUGUGUCUACCUUAUCUAGCAGUGGCUGAAAUUUCCUUCUAUGAUUAUAGAUUUGUCUGUUAUUUCUUAUAGAUUUCUCAAUAUUGCUUGUAUUAUUAUUUUAAGUUAAUACCAUUAGGCAUAAAAAUUCAAAAUUGUUAUCGCUUACUGAAUAAAUAAAUCUUAAUCUAUUAUCAAGUAA
Molecule: long non-coding RNA, 1105 nt
Organism: Homo sapiens (human)
Lineage: Eukaryota; Metazoa; Chordata; Mammalia; Primates; Hominidae
Exons: 3
Source: RefSeq, a predicted model, not a curated record